GCCGGCGACCGGGUAAGUAAAAAAAAAACGGAGGGCAUACUAUUACGCCCGGCGGCGUUUAGAGCCGCCUAAAAUAGGGCGUAAUAGUACGCCCUCCGGUCUUAAGGGGUUAAAUGUAAAACAUUUUGUAGAAACAUUGAAGGGUUCCUGACAGCCACUAGAGGUGCUUCUGCCUCCAGAAUCAAGUCAAAAUCGGUCCUGCAAAGCAGCAUUUGAUUGGAGGAGUAUGCGUAUCUUGGCUCCAAUGCUUCUUUAUGAGAAGGAUUGGUCAAGAUCUCGGAAGACAUCAGGAGAAAUGUGGCCAAAGACAGAGGUGGAAC
Molecule: non-coding RNA, 320 nt
Organism: Pelobates cultripes (western spadefoot toad)
Lineage: Eukaryota; Metazoa; Chordata; Amphibia; Anura; Pelobatidae
Source: the annotation of a GenBank genome assembly